RNAcentral lists this ribosomal RNA (424 nucleotides) under Verrucomicrobiota bacterium. Its description in RNAcentral is "Verrucomicrobia bacterium partial 16S ribosomal RNA". It matches the Rfam family "Bacterial small subunit ribosomal RNA", at positions 355 to 776 of the family's 1533-position model. The record is from RNAcentral. Lineage: Bacteria; Pseudomonadati; Verrucomicrobiota.
UGAGGAAUAUUGGUCAAUGGACGCUAGUCUGAACCAGCCAAGUAGCGUGCAGGAUGACGGCCCUAUGGGUUGUAAACUGCUUUUAUAUGGGGAUAAAGUGGGGAACGUGUUCCCUUUUGCAGGUACCAUAUGAAUAAGGACCGGCUAAUUCCGUGCCAGCAGCCGCGGUAAUACGGAAGGUUCGGGCGUUAUCCGGAUUUAUUGGGUUUAAAGGGAGCGUAGGCCGUUUGGUAAGCGUGUUGUGAAAUGUAGGAGCUCAACUUCUAGAUUGCAGCGCGAACUGUCAGACUUGAGUGCGCACAACGUAGGCGGAAUUCAUGGUGUAGCGGUGAAAUGCUUAGAUAUCAUGAAGAACUCCGAUUGCGAAGGCAGCUUACGGGAGCGCAACUGACGCUGAAGCUCGAAGGUGCGGGUAUCGAACAGG